RNAcentral lists this small RNA (144 nucleotides) under Flavobacterium aquatile LMG 4008 = ATCC 11947. Its description in RNAcentral is "Flavobacterium aquatile LMG 4008 Flavo-1 RNA". It matches the Rfam family "Flavo-1 RNA". The record is from Rfam by way of RNAcentral. Lineage: Bacteria; Pseudomonadati; Bacteroidota; Flavobacteriia; Flavobacteriales; Flavobacteriaceae.
AAAUAGCCCAGAUAGUAAUGGAAAGCAUUUUAUUGAAGAAUUCUAUUUUUUGUAGUGCUAAAAAAGCGACCAACGGAAGCUCUUUUUAGUGCUUACAAAAAAAGAAUUGUUGAUAAAAUCUUGGAAUGGAUAGCUGGAAAUAGC